GUCCUUUGCAUGAUUAAAAUAAAAUAAAUCUUCAUUUUUCAAGUAAAAUGAUAAAUUCCAUUAACUUUAAUAUGAGUAUAUGUAUUAAAAAGUAAAUAUUUCAAGAUAUUUCUCUUAUAUAUUCCAACAAUUGUUGAAAAAAUAUUUGUGACUUUUUGUCCUGUGACUUUUUGUCCUAUCAAAUUUGUGACUUUAUGUCCUGUGACUUUUUGUCCUGUGACUUUCUGUCCGUUUACCAUUUAAAAAAACCCAUUAAAUACAAAUUUCUUUAUAUCUAAUAAAAAAAAAAAGUUUUCUUGUCGCUAAAUAGUCUUCUUGUCUCUUGUUGUCGCUAAAAUAAUUCUUGUUGUCGCUUCUUGUCGCUUGUUGACGCUUGUUGUCGCUUCUUGACGCUUGUUGUCGCUAAUUAGUGAGACCCCUUUCCGGC
This 427-nucleotide long non-coding RNA is filed under the name Mytilus galloprovincialis (Mediterranean mussel). Lineage: Eukaryota; Metazoa; Mollusca; Bivalvia; Mytilida; Mytilidae. The record is from RNAcentral.